CCUACGGGGGGCAGCAGUGGGGGAUAUUGCACAAUGGGGGAAACCCUGAUGCAGCGACGCCGCGUGUAGGAAGACGGUCCUCUGGAUUGUAAACUACUGUUCCCAGGGACGAAGAUGACGGUACCUGGGGAGGAAGCUCCGGCUAACUACGUGCCAGCAGCCGCGGUAAUACGUAGGGAGAGAGCGUUGUCCGGAAUUACGGGGUGUAAAGGGAGCGUAGGCGGGGAUGCAAGUUGGGUGUUAAAUCUACCGGCUCAACUGGUCGUUGCACUCAAAACUGCAGCUCUUGAGUAAAGUAGAGGCAGGCGGAAUUCCUAGUGUAGCGGUGAAAUGCGUAGAUAUUAGGAGGAACACCAGGGGCGAAGGCGGCCUGCUGGGCUUUUACUGACGCUGAGGCUCGAAAGUGUGGGGAGCAAACAGGAUUAGAUACCCGUGUAGUC
Molecule: ribosomal RNA, 440 nt
Filed under: uncultured bacterium
Lineage: Bacteria
Description: partial 16S ribosomal RNA
Rfam family: Bacterial small subunit ribosomal RNA
Source: RNAcentral